CCCCAGUUCAGCUCAGUUGGUGGAGCGCUCCUUUCGAAAUGGAGAGGUCCCGGGUUCAAUACCCGGACCAAGCG
Molecule: transfer RNA, 74 nt
Filed under: Ixodes scapularis (black-legged tick)
Lineage: Eukaryota; Metazoa; Arthropoda; Arachnida; Ixodida; Ixodidae
Description: tRNA-Ser for anticodon CGA
Rfam family: tRNA (bases 10-66)
About the family: Transfer RNA (tRNA) molecules are approximately 80 nucleotides in length.
Source: RNAcentral